Molecule: ribosomal RNA, 253 nt
Filed under: uncultured bacterium
Lineage: Bacteria
Description: partial 16S ribosomal RNA
Rfam family: Bacterial small subunit ribosomal RNA
Source: RNAcentral
UACAGAGGUCUCAAGCGUUGUUCGGAUUCAUUGGGCGUAAAGGGUGCGCAGGCGGCGAGGCAAGUCGGACGUGAAAUCCCGGGGCUUAACCCCGGAACUGCGUUCGAUACUGCCUUGCUUGAGGACUGGAGAGGAGACUGGAAUUCCUGGUGUAGCAGUGAAAUGCGUAGAUAUCAGGAGGAACGCCAAUGGCGAAGGCAAGUCUCUGGACAGUUCCUGACGCUCAUGCACGAAGGCCAGGGGAGCAAACGGG